GGGCCCGCACAAGCGGUGGAGCAUGUGGUUUAAUUCGAUGAUACGCGAGGAACCUUACCAGGGCUUAAAUGGAAAAUGACAGGGGCAGAGACGCCCCCUUCUUCGGACGGUCUGCAAGGUGCUGCAUGGUUGUCGUCAGCUCGUGCUGUGAAGUGUCGGGUUAAGUCCCAUAACGAGCGCAACCCCUAUUUCUAGUUGCCAGCGGUUCGGCCGGGGACUCUAGAGAAACUGCCAGCGUAAGCUGUGAGGAAGGUGGGGAUGACGUCAAAUCAUCACGGCCCUUACAUCCUGGGCCACACACGUGCUACAAUGGUGGGGACAACAGGUUGCCAACCCGCGAGGGUGAGCCAAUCCCAAAACCCCAUCUCAGUUCGGAUCGGAGUCUGCAACUCGACUCCGUGAAGUUGGAGUCGCUAGUAAUCGCGGAU
This 428-nucleotide ribosomal RNA is filed under the name uncultured bacterium. RNAcentral's name for it is "bacterial SSU rRNA". It matches the Rfam family "Bacterial small subunit ribosomal RNA", at positions 917 to 1349 of the family's 1533-position model. The record is from RNAcentral.